Molecule: ribosomal RNA, 253 nt
Filed under: uncultured bacterium
Lineage: Bacteria
Description: partial 16S ribosomal RNA
Rfam family: Bacterial small subunit ribosomal RNA
Source: RNAcentral
UACAGAGAGUGCGAACGUUGUUCGGAAUCACUGGGCAUAAAGCGCACGUAGGCGGCACCAUAAGUGCGAGGUGAAAUCCCACGGCUUACCCGUGGAACUGCUUUGCAGACUGUGGUGCUAGAGGAUGGUAGGGGAGAGCGGAACUCUUGGUGGAGCGGUGAAAUGCGUAGAGAUCAAGAGGAACACCGGUGGCGAAGGCGGCUCUCUGGUCCAUAUCUGACGCUGAGGUGCGAAAGCUAGGGGAGCAAACGGG